GAUGAAGAACGUAGCGAAAUGCGAUACUUGGUGUGAAUUGCAGAAUCCCGUGAACCAUCGAGUCUUUGAACGCAAGCUGUGCCCGAAGCCAUUAGGCCGAGGGCACGCCUGCCUGGGCGUCACACGUCGUUGCCCCCCCCAUCUACUCCUUCGGGAUUGCGGGGGGCGGAUGAUGGCCUCCCGUGCGCCUCGCCGCGCGGUUGGCAUAAAUGCCAAGUCCUCGGCGACGCACGCCACGACAAUCGGUGGUUGCGAAACCUCGGUUGCCCGUCGUGUGCGGUCGUCGCGCAUCGAGGGCUCGAAAAAAUUGCCGAGUUCCGGCUCGGCUUUCAACGCGACCCCAGGUCAGGCGGGGUUACCCGCUGAAUUUAAGCAUAUCAAUAAGCGGAGGA
RNAcentral lists this unclassified non-coding RNA (392 nucleotides) under soil metagenome. Its description in RNAcentral is "partial contains 5.8S ribosomal RNA, internal transcribed spacer 2, and large subunit ribosomal RNA". The stretch from base 1 to 122 matches the Rfam family "5.8S ribosomal RNA", at positions 35 to 154 of the family's 154-position model. The record is from RNAcentral.